GUAGGGAAUCUUGCGCAAUGGGCGAAAGCCUGACGCAGCCAUGCCGCGUGAAUGAUGAAGGUCUUAGGAUUGUAAAAUUCUUUCACCGGGGAAGAUAAUGACGGUACCCGGAGAAGAAGCCCCGGCUAACUUCGUGCCAGCAGCCGCGGUAAUACGAAGGGGGCUAGCGUUGCUCGGAAUUACUGGGCGUAAAGGGCGCGUAGGCGGACAUUUAAGUCAGAGGUGAAAGCCCAGGGCUCAACCUUGGAAUUGCCUUUGAUACUGGAUGUCUUGAGUUCGGGAGAGGUGAGUGGAAUGCCGAGUGUAGAGGUGAAAUUCGUAGAUAUUCGGCGGAACACCAGUGGCGAAGGCGACUCACUGGCCCGAUACUGACGCUGAGGCGCGAAAGCGUGGGGAGCAAACAGGAUUAGAUACCCUUGUAGUCC
RNAcentral lists this ribosomal RNA (425 nucleotides) under uncultured bacterium. RNAcentral describes it as "bacterial SSU rRNA". It matches the Rfam family "Bacterial small subunit ribosomal RNA", at positions 354 to 796 of the family's 1533-position model. The record is from RNAcentral.